CAGCAGCCGCGGGAAAACGAAGGGUGCAAGCGUUAAUCGGAAUUACUGGGCGUAAAGCGCGCGUAGGUGGUUCAUUAAGUUGGAUGUGAAAGCCCUGGGCUCAACCUGGGAACUGCAUCCAAAACUGGUGAGCUAGAGUACGGUAGAGGGUAGUGGAAUUUCCUGUGUAGCGGUGAAAUGCGUAGAUAUAGGAAGGAACACCAGUGGCGAAGGCGACUACCUGGACUGAUACUGACACUGAGGUGCGAAAGCGUGGGGAGCAAACAGGAUUAGAUACCCCCGUAGUCCCUGUCUCUUAUAC
RNAcentral lists this ribosomal RNA (301 nucleotides) under uncultured bacterium. RNAcentral's name for it is "partial 16S ribosomal RNA". It matches the Rfam family "Bacterial small subunit ribosomal RNA", at positions 509 to 807 of the family's 1533-position model. The record is from RNAcentral.